Molecule: ribosomal RNA, 740 nt
Filed under: uncultured soil bacterium
Lineage: Bacteria
Description: bacterial SSU rRNA
Rfam family: Bacterial small subunit ribosomal RNA
Source: RNAcentral
GGCGGCAUGCCUUACACAUGCAAGUCGAACGGCAGCACGGGAGCUUGCUCUUGGUGGCGAGUGGCGAACGGGUGAGUAGUAUAUCGGAACGUACCCAGUGGUGGGGGAUAACGCAGCGAAAGCUGCGCUAAUACCGCAUACGCUCUCUGGAGGAAAGUGGGGGACUCGCAAGGGCCUCACGCUAUUGGAGCGGCCGAUAUCUGAUUAGCUAGUUGGUGAGGUAAAGGCUCACCAAGGCAUCGAUCAGUAGCUGGUCUGAGAGGACGACCAGCCACACUGGAACUGAGACACGGUCCAGACUCCUACGGGAGGCAGCAGUGGGGAAUUUUGGACAAUGGGCGAAAGCCUGAUCCAGCAAUGCCGCGUGAGUGAAGAAGGCCUUCGGGUUGUAAAGCUCUUUUGUCAGGGAAGAAACGGUAUGGGCUAAUAUCCCGUACUAAUGACGGUACCUGAAGAAUAAGCACCGGCUAACUACGUGCCAGCAGCCGCGGUAAUACGUAGGGUGCAAGCGUUAAUCGGAAUUACUGGGCGUAAAGCGUGCGCAGGCGGUUUUGUAAGUUUGUCGUGAAAGCCCCGGGCUCAACCUGGGAAUUGCGAUGAAGACUGCAAGGCUUGAAUCUGGCAGAGGGGGGUAGAAUUCCACGUGUAGCAGUGAAAUGCGUAGAGAUGUGGAGGAACACCGAUGGCGAAGGCAGCCCCCUGGGUCAAGAUUGACGCUCAUGCACGAAAGCGUGGGGAGC